UGGCGGAGAAUCACUGAGAGCUGC
RNAcentral lists this non-coding RNA (24 nucleotides) under Cricetulus griseus (Chinese hamster). Lineage: Eukaryota; Metazoa; Chordata; Mammalia; Rodentia; Cricetidae. The record is from RNAcentral.